This 509-nucleotide ribosomal RNA is filed under the name uncultured bacterium. RNAcentral's name for it is "partial 16S ribosomal RNA". It matches the Rfam family "Bacterial small subunit ribosomal RNA", at positions 27 to 507 of the family's 1533-position model. The record is from RNAcentral.
GGACGAACGCUGGCGGCGUGCCUAAUACAUUCAAGUCGAACGCUUCUUUCCUCCCGAGUGCUUGCACUCAAUUGGAAAGAGGAGUGGCGGACGGGUGAGUAACACGUGGGUAACCUACCCAUCAGAGGGGGAUAACACUUGGAAACAGGUGCUAAUACCGCAUAACAGUUUAUGCCGCAUGGCAUAAGAGUGAAAGGCGCUUUCGGGUGUCGCUGAUGGAUGGACCCGCGGUGCAUUAGCUAGUUGGUGAGGUAACGGCUCACCAAGGCCACGAUGCAUAGCCGACCUGAGAGGGUGAUCGGCCACACUGGGACUGAGACACGGCCCAGACUCCUACGGGAGGCAGCAGUAGGGAAUCUUCGGCAAUGGACGAAAGUCUGACCGAGCAACGCCGCGUGAGUGAAGAAGGUUUUCGGAUCGUAAAACUCUGUUGUUAGAGAAGAACAAGGACGUUAGUAACUGAACGUCCCCUGACGGUAUCUAACCAGAAAGCCACGGCUAACUACGUG